CACGGGGGGAGCAAGCGUUGUUCGGAAUCACUGGGCGUAAAGGGCGUGUAGGCGGUUUGGUAAGUGGGAUGUGAAAUGCCUCGGCUCACCCGAGGACCGGCAUCCCAAACUGCCAAGCUUGAGUAUGGGAGAGGAUGUGGGAAUUCCUAGUGUAGCGGUGAAAUGCGUAGAUAUCAGGAGGAACACCGGUGGCGAAGGCGCACAUCUGGCCCAAUACUGACGCUGAGGCGCGAAAGCUAGGGGAGCAAACGGG
This 253-nucleotide ribosomal RNA is filed under the name uncultured bacterium. Its description in RNAcentral is "partial 16S ribosomal RNA". It matches the Rfam family "Bacterial small subunit ribosomal RNA", at positions 524 to 776 of the family's 1533-position model. The record is from RNAcentral.